UACAGAGGGUGCGAGCGUUACUCGGAAUUACUGGGCGUAAAGCGCGCGUAGGCGGCUUUGCAAGUCGGGUGUGAAAUCCCCAAGCUUAACUUGGGAACUGCAUUCGAGACUGCAUUGCUAGAGUAUGGGAGAGGGAAGUGGAAUUUCCGGUGUAGCGGUGAAAUGCGUAGAUAUCGGAAGGAACAUCAGUGGCGAAAGCGACUUCCUGGACCAAUACUGACGCUCAUGUGCGAAAGCGUGGGGAGCAAACAGG
This 253-nucleotide ribosomal RNA is filed under the name uncultured bacterium. RNAcentral's name for it is "partial 16S ribosomal RNA". It matches the Rfam family "Bacterial small subunit ribosomal RNA", at positions 524 to 776 of the family's 1533-position model. The record is from RNAcentral.